Molecule: long non-coding RNA, 2988 nt
Organism: Canis lupus familiaris (dog)
Lineage: Eukaryota; Metazoa; Chordata; Mammalia; Carnivora; Canidae
Exons: 4
Source: RefSeq, a predicted model, not a curated record
GGCCCUUGGCCAACUUGCAAGAUUCCGUUUCAGUUUGGAGGUUGAAAUCUGCCAUGUGGUGACAUUUGAGUCCAAUGGCUUAGGAGCACCGUUGUCCAGAAUGCACCACGUCUGCAUUUUGUACGAGUGCCCCCUCUUCGCAAGGUGCAGCCUCUGUGUUCAUCGAGAGAGGCUAAACACACGAGAAUCUUCAAGCCAGAAAUUGCCUGACUUCUCCCCGGAGAGCAUCUGCCUGGGGAGGGCAGGAUAGACAAGCUGAUAACAAUUUAAAAAAUAUGUAAAACGAGACUCUCCAGUUAUGGGAGCACAGCCUUGAGCCUCUGAGUUCCUGGCUCACUGAGGAAGUGGAUUUGAAAUGCAACGAGGAAAUGAGGAGAGAUGAGGAAACGGGUGAUCUGAUCUUCCAAAGGGCAUCUGAUCCUAUUUCUAAAUUCAGUUCCUGAAAUGAUGAUGCAGAGCAAUUGUGGAAAAAAAAAAGGACAAAGAGUGAAUAUAGUAUACUCCACUAAAGUACAGUGGAGAUUGUAAGAAUCCCUGAGACCCAGAGAUACUGUCGCUAAAAAGUGGGAAUACAGCCCUGCAGACACCUCUGUGUGCAGACACCUCCUUAGCAUAUGUUGACAAACUCACUGAAGGCAGUCACUAUAGAGGUUCUGGGGAGUCAUGGAAGGAAACUCAUUCUGAAAAGUGGGUAAUCCUGACAGGAAAUGAGGCCAGUCUUAGAACCAAGAAGGGCACAGGCCUGGGACCUGCCUUGGAGGCCUUCCUCCAAGUGGUUCCCGAGGCAGGAACUAGCAGCCCCAUUCCUGGCAGGCAGCCAGCCCACCUUGAGCAGGUGUGAAUGAGUAAUAAUCACAGUGACCUCUAGGCUCCCAAUGAUCUCUUCCCCCUGAACAGCAGUGAAAGAAAUUAGAAAUGGCCCUGGGACAGGAGGAAGACUGUGUUCCCACCCCGAGGUCCGAGAGGACUGCUGUCUGAGCAGAGCCACUCCUGCCACAGCCCCCCACCCCCCAUGCCUUCUGAUAAGCGGCCAUCUGUUUAUGUGCAUGGAGGGGGCUGGUCCACAAGGGCUGGCACAGAGGUGGCACACAGCUGCUGCGGGCAGCCUCAUCUGAAAGUAACACAGGCCAGCGGGUCCUCUCUUUCCACUGAAGUGAAGCAGUAGGCCGGGCCUGGAUACCACAUGGCCAACAAGUAGGGUCCUAAAGAUGCUCCCGUGGCCACAGAAGGAACCCCAGUACUUCCUCUGGCUGCCUGGGUGGUCACCAUUCAAGAAAGACAAGCCCCUGCUUCAGCGACCACAGUGAGGGUCCCCCGGAGGGAGCCUGCAGAAGCUGGUCAUCCACAGAUGGGGACAGCCUCGAGGAUAAGCCAAGUUCCUGCUCUCUGGGAGGUGGCAGCAGGGAGAUGCCCGUGAGGACAGAUUUGCAGGCAAAUUGUUAGAAAUAUUUGGGGAAGAGAAUCUCAGAGAUGGUCUUUCUUCUAAUCUGGGUGGGUAGGGGCUCCUGCAUGAAGAUUCGAAUAUUAAGGAAGGGUGACUUUAUUUUGUAUACCAGAUUGGUGAGGUGGGAAAUGUCAACCACAUGGAGAGAGAUGCACACAUUCAAACUACAAAUCUUAUCAUGUCACUCUCCUGCUUAAAACCCACCAAUGGCUUGCUUCGGGGUGAAGCCCAAACCCUUUCCAUAGGCCCCAGGUCUGGAGCCUUCAGCCACACACCGCAGCCACGCGGACAUCCUCAGGUCUCCAGCCCUUGGUACUUGCUUCUGCUUCUGUUUGGAACACUUCCUGUUCCAAUCAUCUAGAUAAUUCUUGUUCACCCUUAGAGAUUCAGCUUGAAAUGUCACCUCCCCUGGGAAGUCUUCCUUUGGCCAUCUCUCCUCCUGGAUUAGAUGAAGCCCUCCUGCCCAGGGUUUGGGCAAUCGCAUUGUUUCACUGUCCUUGAUUGAUGCGAUCUUCUCAGAGAGGGAUUCUGAGAAAGCUGUUACUGCAUCCCCAGUGUUUUGUAUGUAGUUAGCACAUUGACACGUGUCGAAUGUCUACAUGGUGAAGGUACAUGAUUUACACAAAGGGAUCAUGUACUCUUGUUUGCCUCCAACAAUGCUGUGAGCAUUGAGCACGGCAUUCAAGCACCUCAUGCUCUAAACCUCAUCAGCUCUAUCCCACCUGAUUAUGUUUUCCUUUUCAUUGAUGGUGCCUAACGCAGAAGAGGUACACCAUAAGCACUUAUUAAAUUGCCCAAGUGAUAUGCUGUCUUUUUUCCCUGCUUGAUAGAAUGAAUGCCUCUCUUCCACCCCUGCCUGGCUAACUCCCACUGACCCUCUAAGGUCCCGUUGACAUGUAUCUCUUUACGAAGCAGUCUCUGUCUCCCCCAGGCAGAGUAAGUGGCCUCACCGCUGUAAUCUCCAGCACCUUGCUCCUAUCUCUUCGUGGCUCCUACUGUGUACAGCUAUGAUGUGUUUACAAAGCUGGCUCGCUGACUCAGUUUGGAUCAUUGAUGGUACUGGCACGGUGCCUUCUUCCAUUCAUUGUCUCCAGCAUCUAGUAUGGCCUCUGUCACAUAAUUGACGUUCAGCAAGUAUUUGUUGAAGGAAGGAAUGAUUGAAUAGAUGCACGAGUAAAUAAAUGUAGGAAGGAAGUUUUACAGUUUCAUGCAUAGAAAACUACCUGGUAGGCUGAAAAAUCCAUUGGAACCCAUCCCAAUUUACUGCUGCAGACCUCCAGACCCUGUCAGUUGCGAUCAGAAUCAGGGAAAUCAUCCCAGCAUGCCAGAACUAGGUAGAAUUCUUUGUAGCUGAUGAAACUGAGGUCCUAAAUGUGAAGGUUAUGCAGCAAAUUACAUAAUAAUGAAAUUGGUCAAGAUAUCAAGAUUGAUACCCAUGCAUUCCAAGGGUCAUUAAUCAUCAGGACAAGUUGUCACCUCUCUUUCAGACAGAGAGAGAGAGAAAGGCAGAGACAUAGGCAGAGGGAGAAGCAGGCUCCAUGCAG